This 1968-nucleotide ribosomal RNA is filed under the name human gut metagenome. RNAcentral describes it as "bacterial LSU rRNA". It matches the Rfam family "Bacterial large subunit ribosomal RNA", at positions 3 to 1991 of the family's 2925-position model. The record is from RNAcentral.
UCAAGCUACAAAGGGCGCAUGGUGAAUGCCUUGGCAUCAGGAGCCGAUGAAGGACGUGAUAAGCUGCGAUAAGCUUCGGGUAGGCGCACAUAGCCUGAGAUCCGAAGAUCUCCGAAUGAGGAAACUCACAUGGGAAACCCCAUGUAUCAUUAAGUGAAUACAUAGCUUAAUGAAGGUAACCCAGGGAACUGAAACAUCUAAGUACCUGGAGGAAGAGAAAGAAAAAUCGAUUUUCUUAGUAGCGGCGAGCGAAAGGGAAAGAGCCCAAACCGGAAACUUGUUUCCGGGGUUGUGGACAUAACAUAAAAGUGGAGGCUAUUGUAACUGAAGAGAACUGGAAAGUUCCACCGUAGAAGGUAAUAGUCCUGUAAGUGAAACGAGAAGACCACGAGUUAUGAUCCAGAGUACCACGAGACACGUGAAACCUUGUGGGAAGCAGGGAGGACCACCUCCCAAGGCUAAAUACUACCUGAUGACCGAUAGUGAAGCAGUACCGUGAGGGAAAGGUGAAAAGAACCCCGGGAGGGGAGUGAAAUAGAACCUGAAACCGUGUGCCUACAACCGCUCAGAGCCCCUUAUGAGGGUGAUGAGGUGCUUUUUGUAGAACGAGCCAACGAGUUACGGUAUGUAGCAAGGUUAAGUACUUAAGGUACGGAGCCGAAGGGAAACCGAGUCUGAAUAGGGCGACUAGUUGCAUGCCGUAGACCCGAAACCGGGUGACCUAUCCAUGGCCAGGUUGAAGCGAGGGUAAAACCUCGUGGAGGACCGAACCACGUUGCUGUUGAAAAAGCAUGGGAUGAGCUGUGGAUAGCGGAGAAAUUCCAAUCGAACCCGGAGAUAGCUGGUUCUCUCCGAAAUAGCUUUAGGGCUAGCGUCGAGUAUGAGUAGUGGAGGUAGAGCACUGAAUGGGCUAGGGGGCAUAGCGCUUACCGAACCUUAUCAAACUCCGAAUGCCACAUACUUUGAGCUCGGCAGUCAGACUACGAAUGAUAAGAUCCGUGGUCAAAAGGGAAACAGCCCAGAUCGUCAGCUAAGGUCCCAAAGUGUAAGUUAAGUGGGAAAGGAUGUGAGAUUUCUAAGACAACUAGGAUGUUGGCUUAGAAGCAGCCAUUCAUUAAAAGAGUGCGUAAUAGCUCACUAGUCGAGAGAUCUUGCGCCGAAAAUGUAACGGGGCUAAACUUACCACCGAAGCUACGGGCUUGAACUUAGUUCAAGCGGUAGGAGAGCGUCGUAACCGGGCUGAAGUCGUACCGUAAGGAGCGGUGGACUGGUUACGAGUGAGAAUGUUGGCAUCAGUAGCGAGAUGUGGGUGAGAAUCCCACAGGCCGAAAACCUAAGGUUUCCUCAGGAAGGUUCGUCCGCUGAGGGUUAGUCGGGACCUAAGCCGAGGCCGAAAGGCGUAGGUGAUGGACAACUGGUUGAUAUUCCAGUACCACUACCAUCGUUAUUAUCGAUGGCGUGACGCAGGAGGAUAGUGUGUGCUAGCUAUUGGAUGCUAGUCUAAGCGUUUAGGCAGUGAGAGUAGGCAAAUCCGCUCUCAUAAUGCUGAGGCGUGAUGGGGAAGGUUCUACGGAACCGAAGUACAUGAUUCCACGCUGCCAAGAAAAGCGUCUAGAGAGAGAAGUAGUGCCCGUACCGCAAACCGACACAGGUAGGUGAGGAGAGAAUCCUAAGGCCGGCGGAAGAAUUACAGUUAAGGAACUCGGCAAAUUGACCCCGUAAGUUCGCGAGAAGGGGUGCCUACGAGAGUAGGCCGCAGAGAAUAGGCCCAAGCAACUGUUUAGCAAAAACACAGGUCUCUGCUAAAGCGUAAGCUGAUGUAUAGGGGCUGACGCCUGCCCGGUGCUGGAAGGUUAAGGGGAACACUUAGCGCAAGCGAAGGUGUGAACUUAAGCCCCAGUAAACGGCGGCCGUAACUAUAACGGUCCUAAGGUAGCGAAAUUCCUUGUCAGGUAAGUUCUGACCCGC